Molecule: long non-coding RNA, 1587 nt
Organism: Cyprinus carpio carpio
Lineage: Eukaryota; Metazoa; Chordata; Actinopteri; Cypriniformes; Cyprinidae
Source: Ensembl
AGGGAUGUGAAUAUUGCUCGGUUUGUUCUAAGCAGAAGUAAGAUAUUCUCAAAAGGUAUUUAAUUAAAUAUGAUUCGUUGUCAAAGGUGAAAGGUCUGAAGAACUCUGCUCAAAAGUAAUUAAGGGAUUUAGAUAAUGGUUUGUUUUAGUGAAAGAAAGCAUCAGUUAAGAUACAACUGGUUGGCUUAUCUUAAAAAUCAGCUUUCAAAGAGUCUGAUGUGAGUUAAACAUCUUCCACAUUAAGAGAUCGAGGAUACGCUGUGUAAAGAAAUCAUUAUGAAUGAAGAUAAAUACUAGUGUUUUAAAAGCAUUUGAAUAGCAAACAUUAGUAAUUAAAAACGCUGCAUUCGGAGAUGAGGGCAACUGAUAAUGUGUGCCAUUAAAUACACAUCUGGCUUUAAGGUGUGUCUGUGUGUUUACUUUUACUACUGCUUAACAGUAUUAAUUCAAAACUACAAGACGUCUCCACCUCAUGCAUUAUUUUCUUCAAUGAGCCUCAUAAAUAUAGUCACACAGACUUAUUUCAUGCUGCCUUUUUGGAGUAUAAACAACCAUGCAUCCCCCAUCAGUUUAUGCUGAAAACUUGACCAUUAUGUCAGAAAUAAGUGUGGUCAGAACAACACGAGAGUGGGUAAAGGAUGACAGAAUUUACAUUUUGGGUGAACUACUAAAUAAGACCUGUUCGAAGGUUAGGGUUGAAGGUUUUAAACUCGUCCACAGCAUUCUGUGAACCCAGCAGAUGAAGCAUUGCACAGCAGCGUCUCCUCAGCGAAGGUUUGUGUUGCACUGCCCCCUCUGUGCAGCAUCUGAAAGUGAAAGAACACAUGCGCCUCCAUCAGAAACAGAAGUGUGAAUGAACUGCACAGCUGACAUGACAACGCUGCGCUUUCACUCCUGCUCUACAGACUCUUGGGUCCCUGGAAAACAGCUGUCCGCUGGAGUUUCCACGAUGACUGUCGAGAGAACUGAACAUCGUUCUCAGAUGACGCUUCUGUUCAGCGAGAGCACAACGUCAGGACUUCCUGAAACAGUGGCAAACAGCCACCACACAAGCACUUCAGACUGGAAAACAGAAGUGUCUCUCAUGGACAGGAAUAAAACACGCAGUGCCACAUUUAGCAGCACAUUUAGAUACAGACGCAGAGGUGCUUCCUCAGACAACUGACUGUCACCAUGCUAAAUUAAGAAUCUGAGAUAGUUUGGAAACUUGCUUCUAACAGGUCAUAUUACACAGAAAUGUUAAAAUCAACCAGCAAAUUUAUGCUCAGGCAUGACUUCUUAAUUUUAAGUUACAUUUAUGUUAACAUAAAAUGUCAUAGAGGUAUGGAACCCCAUUUCUGUCAUCAACAAACAAACAAAAACUUUUCAUAAAAUUGUGAGAGAAAAAAAAAAAUCUGAAUUGCAUGAUAUAAAUUCAGAGCUGCAAGAUGCAUAAAUAAAUAAAUAAAUCAUAGAUGCAUGGAAAAAAAAGUCUGACUUGUGAGUUUAAAAAGUUUUAAAAAGUGCAAUUACUUUAUGUGUUUUUUAUUAAUUGAUUUAUUCUGUGGCAAAGAAAAAAAGAAACUGAAUAGCGAGAUGUAAAAUCUG